This is a long non-coding RNA of Mobula hypostoma (lesser devil ray), 15703 nucleotides long. RefSeq lists it as uncharacterized. The transcript has 5 exons. NCBI's taxonomy places the organism in Eukaryota, Metazoa, Chordata, Chondrichthyes, Myliobatiformes, Myliobatidae. The record is from RefSeq and is a predicted model, not a curated record.
AAAUUUCAGCACCUGUGUUAUUUUGGUAUUGGAUGUUACAUUCAUGGCUGCAUGUGCAGAACAUGUACUAUGAAGUUAUUGCAGGUGCUCUCCAUUUAAACAUCUCUAUAUGUUACACCGCUGUGAAUUCAAUGGAAUUGAGUGCUGGGAGAUCAGUAUAACUGGAGGAUUAUAGGCUUUGAGCAAAUGACUGAGUGACUGCAAGAAAACACAAGCUGUGGGAUUUUUACCCAUGAAUUCUCCGGAAGGUGGAAGUCUCAAUCUUCCUACAGCUGUCUAGGGAGAGAGAAAGUAGAUGCAUCUUGCCUGGAUGUCUAGACUGGAUGGAGACGCAAUAUGCUGCCUGACCUGCGAGUUCCUCCAGCAUUUUGUGUUUAAUGCCUCAUACUUGCUCAAGAUUACCAGCACCUGCAGGAUCUCUUGCAUUAGCUGGUAUAUCAAGAAGUAGAAGUACCCUGGGGGCUUAUUUUUUCACCGAGAAGAUGGAACAAGAUGCCUGAGGAAGCUUUUGAGACAGGCAUAUUGCAUCUUCUGUGGAUGCCUGCGGAAGUCUCUAAAUGGGAGAGGAUCCCAGAAGCAGUUAUCACAGGAGUGCAAGAAGGUGCAGGAAGAGCAGCUGCUGUAGGGCCUCACUGACUGAGAGAAUACAGAGAAGUCUGCUCUGCUCAGCUCCACCCAGACCCCAGAUGUUGUGACUUCAGGGCUGGGGUGAGGUUGGGGGAGAAGGUGCCUGGAAAUGCCCUGUGCCAACAGCCCCACAUGAGAUACUAAAUCUAUCCCCAUCACCCUGCCAGUUUCCCAAAUGCUCAUUUCUAUGUAAGAGGCGUCAAUACCCCAAGGUGGUCCAAUAUUUUAGUUUCUAAUUCAAACCCCUUAUUGUGCCUUAAACUUCUCGAUUUGCAGCAAGUGAGGACUAUUCCACCCGAUUGACUGCUUUGAUCUGAUGAUGAUUGUUGCUGGAUUCCCUACAGAAUGAUGUGCCUGUUGGGUUUCCCAAGGGAAAAUCCAUGGCACACCAACGAACCUAAUUAAUCGUUGAAUUUACUAAAUCUCAGACAAAUUUCUGAAGCAGCUUCAGCCUGCCUGGCACUUUAAAUGCUGCAGUAGAUUUAAUCUUACAGGGUCAGGCUAAUGUGCAGAAAGGAAACAGAGUGACAGCAUGAAUUAAAUGGAAGAGGAUAAGAUCAGCUCAGAUGUUUCUGCAGCAGGCUGCACAAAUUGAAUGCUUUACUCCACAUGCUUUUACCACCUGCAUACUUCUAGAAUAUGUUAAAAUGCAGUUUGAGUUUUGCAACUAUUAUCAUCUUAAAUUAGAGGGGUGGGUGUGGGUGUGUGGGAUGGAUGUUGGUAUUGUGUUAGUUAUUGGCAUUGAUGUAAAAAUAGUGAGAGUUGGAAGGGAAAAAUAAACAAAAAUAAGGAAAGAAUGGGAUAAAAAUCAGAAAAUGAUGGAAACCAUUAGCAGGAAAGGCAAUGUCUGUGAAGAAACAGAACUAAUAUCUCAAGCUGAUAACUCUUCUUCCAAAUUAAAACAAAGGUAAAAUUGUGCCAUCUUGCAAUUAGCCAAAUUGAAUUCGAGUUGCUAUAAUUGGAAAGAAUGAUUCUGCUGCUUCAGAUCAUUAAUUCUUUGGAACACUGAAUCACAUGACAGCCUAUGCAGUUAAAUUAAAAUAGUUGGGAAAACAAUGACUUGUAUCAGUAACAAUAUUGUCAAAAUAGCUCCACUUAGUACUUUGCAAAUCAGUUACAUUCUGUUUUUGAAAAUAAAAAGUAAUGAAAAGAAAGUGUAUCUAUUUCCUAAACAAAAUCUUUCACUGUCAUUAACACAUUGCUAAAAAAUGUUAUGGGCAUUCCAUUCUCCCAGUUCUUCCAGGUCUGUUACGUUUUUUCUGAUGAAGAAAUCUUCCGCACUGGUGCAUCCAAAAUGUCUUAUUUUCUCCUUAAGUAUGUCCACUCCUCUACCACAGUUAACAAGGCUAUCAUCAUCAUCCAUGGUUCUGUUCUUUGUUCUCUUCUCCCACUCAAGACAAGGAUAAGGUUCCCCUUGUUCUCACCAUAAGGUCAUAAGACCAUAAAACAUAGGAGUAGAAUUUGGCUAUUUGGCCCAUCGAGUCUGCCCCACGAUUUCCUCAUGGCCGAUCCAUCUCUCUCUCAACCAUAUUCUCCUGCCUUCUUCCCAUAACUUUUUACACCCUAUCUAAUCAAGUACCUAUCAUAACCUACCUGCCUGCCUUAAAUGCACCCAAUGACCUGGCCUCCACAGCCACAUAUGGCAAUGAAUUCCACAGAUCCACCAGUCACUGGCUGAAGAAACUUCUCCUCAUCUCUCUUCUAAAUGGGUGUACCUCUAUUCUGAGGUUAUGCCCUCUGGUUCUAGACUCCCCCUUUCAGCAUCGUCUCCACAUCCACUCUAUCUCGGCCUUUCACCAUUCAACAGAUUUCAAUGAGAUUUCCCCUCAUUCUUCAAAUACAGGCCCAGAGCUAUCAAACGCUCCUCAUAUGAUAAGCUUUUCAAUCACUUAAUCAUUUUCAUGAACAACCUUUGAACUCUCUCAAAUAUCAGCAGAUCUUUUCUUAAAUAAGUGGCCCAAACUGCUCACAAUACUCAAAGUGAGGCCUCAACAGUGCCUUAUAAAGCUUCAACGUUACAUCCUUGCCUUUAUAUUCUAGCCCUCUCAAAAUGAAUGCAAACCUUGUAUUUGCCUUCCUUACCACCGUCUCAAACUGCAAAUUGAUCUUUAGGGAAUCCUGCACGAGGACUUCCGAGUCCCUUUGCACCUUGGAUUUUAGAAUGUUCUCCACAUUUAGAAGAUAGUCUAUGCUUUUAUUCCUUCUGAAAAACUGCAUGACCAUACACUUCCUGCCAUCUGCCACUUCUUUGCCUAUUCUCUGAAUCUGUCCAAGUCCUUCUGCAGCCUCCCUACUUCCUCAACACUACCUGCCCAUCCACCUAUCUUGGUAUCGUCUACAAACUUGGCCACAAAGCCAGCAAUUCUAUCAUCCAAAUCAAUGACAUUAACAUAAAAAGAAAUGGUUCCCACACCGAGCCCUCAGAACCGCUAGACACCAUCAGCCAAUCAAAAACAGCUCCCUUUAUUCCCACCCUUUGCCUCCUGCCAAUCAGCCAAUGGUCAAUCUAUGCUCGUAUCUUUCCUGUAAUACCGUAGGCUUUUGACUUGUUAAGCAGCCUCAUGUGCGGCACCUUGUCAAAGGUCUACUGAAAAUCCAAGUACACAACAUUGAUCAAUUCUCCUUUGUUUAUCCUGCUUCAUAUUUCCUCAAAUAAUUUUAACAGAUUUGUCAGACAAGAUUUUCCUUGAAGUAAACCUUGCUGACUUUGGACUAUUUUAUCGCAUGCCUCUGAGUACUCCAAAACCACAUCCUUAACAAUCACCUCCACCAUUUUCCUAACCACUGAGGUCAGACUAACUGGCCUAAAACUUCCUUUUUUUCUGUCUUCCUCCCUUCUUGAAGAGUGGAGUGACAUUUGCAAAUUUGUAGUCUUCUGGAACCACUCCAGAAUCCAGUGAUUAUUGAAAGUCAUUACUAGUGCCUCCACAAUCUCUUCAUCAACCUCUUUCAGAACCCUGGGGUGUAGUCCAUCUGGUUCAGGCGACGAAACCACCUUCAGACAUUUUGGUUUUCCAAGCACCUUCUCCCUAGUAAUAGCAACUGCACUCACUUCUGCCACCGGACAAUCUUGAACUUCUGACAUACUGCUUGUGUCUUCCUCAGUGAAGACUGAUGCAAAAUGCUUAUUUAGUUCAUCCACAAUUUCCUUGUCCACGAUUUUGUCCUCUCCAGCAUUUUUUUCCAGUGGUUCAAUAUCUACUCUCACCUCUCUUUUACUCUUUAUAUAUCUGAAAAAAAAACUUCUGGUGUCCUCUUCAAUAUUGUUGGCUAGCUUACCUUCAUAUUUCAUCAUUUCCCCCCAUGGCUUUUUUCAUUGCCUUAAGUUGAUUUUUAAAAGUUUCCCAAUACUCUAACUUCUCACUAACCUUUGCUCUAUUAUAUGCCCUCUCUUGUGGUUUUAUGUUAGCUUUGACUUCCCUUGUCAGUCAAGGUUGCAUCAUCCUGCAUUUAGAAUACUUCUUCUUCUUUGGGAUAUAUCUAUCCUGCACCUUCCGAAUUGCUCCCGGAAACUCCAGCCACUGCUGUCCCUGCUAGCGUCCUCUUCCAAUCAGCUUUGUCCAGCUCCUCUCUCAUACCUCUGUAAUUCCCUUUUACUCCACUGUAAUACUGACAGAUCUGACUUUAGCGUCUCCUUCUCAAAUUCCAGGGUGAAUUCUAUCAUAUUAUGAUCACUGCCUCCUAAGGUUUCCUUUAUCUUAAGCUCCCUGAUCAAAUCCGGUUCAUUAUACAACACCCAAUCCAGAAUAGCUGAUCCUCUAGUGGGCUCAACAACAAGCUGCUCUAAAAAACCAUCUUGUGGGCAUUCAACAAAUUCUCUUUCUUGGGAUCCAAAAUCAGCACCAAUCUGAUUUUCCCAAUCUAUUUGCAUAUUGAAAUCUCUCAUGAAUACUGUAACAUUGACCUUUUGACAUGCCUUUUCUAUCUCCCAUUGUAAUUUGUAGCCCAGAUCCUGGCUACUGUUCGGAGGCCUAUAUGUAAUGCCCAUCAGGGUCUUUUUACCCUUGCUGUUUCUUAACACUAGCCACAAGGGUUCUACAUCUUCCAAACCUAUGUUACCUCUUUGUAAGGAUUUGAUUGUCUUUUUUUUCAACAGAGUCACACCACCCCCUCUGCCUACCUGCCUGUCCUUUUGAUACAAUGUGUAUCAUUGGAUGCUAAGCUCCCAACCAUGAUCUUCUUUCAGCCACGCCUCAGUGAUGCCACAUUGUUACACCUGCCCAUCUCUAGCUGCACUAUAAGGUCAUCUACCUUGUUCAUAUACUGCUUGCAUUCGAAUAUACCAUCUUCAGUCCUGUAUCCGUCACCCUUUUUGAUUUUGUCCUCCUUUUACACUGCAACUUAUCCCUCUGACUGCAAUUUUGCCUUUUCAUCUGCCUGCCCUUCCUGCCAGUCUCACUACCAACAGUCCUAUCCUCAGCCCUAUCACUCUGAUUCCCAUCCCCUUGCCAAAUUAGUUUAAACCCUCCCCAACAGCUCUAGCAAACCUGCCUGCAAAGAUAUUGGUCCCUCUUUGGUUCAGGUGUAACCGGUCCCUUUUGUACAGAUCAUACCUUCCCCAGAAGAGAUCCCAAUGAUCCAGAAAUCUGAAAUCCUUCUCCCUGCACCAGUUUCUCAACCUCACAUUCAUCUGCCAAAUCAUCCUAUUCUUACCCUCUCUGAUGCGUGGCACAGGCAGCAAUCCAGAGGUUACCACUCUGGAGAUCCUGCUUUUCAGCUUUCUUCCUAGCUCCCUAAGUCCUCUCUUCAGGACCUCCUCACCUUUCCUACCUAUGUCAUUGGUGCCAAUAUGUACCAAGACUUCUGGCUGCUCCCCCUCCCCCUUUAGAAUGUUGUGGACCUAACCUGAGACGUCCCUGACUCUAGCACCUCGGAGGCAACAUACCAUCUGGGUAUCUCUAUCGCGUCCACAUUGAGUCAUGUCUACUCCUCGAACUAUGGAAUCCCCGAUCAGUACUUCAAUCCUCUUUUUCUCCCUUCCCUUCCAAGCCACAGCGCUAGACUCAGUGUGAGAGACUACAUUGCUGUGGCUCCCCCCCCCCCACCCCUCCCAGGUUGUCCUCUCAACAGUAUCCAAAUGGUAUACUUAUUAUUUAGGGGAAUGGCAGCAGAGGUACUCUACUGGCUGCUCAUUUCCCUUCCCUCUCCUGACAGUUACCCAUUUUAACUACCUCAUGUAACUUAGGGCUGACUACCUCCUUGUAGCAUCUCUUCAGUUUCCUGCAUGAGCCGAAGGUCAUCAAGCUGCAGCUCCAGUUCCUUACUAUUUACUCUGAGGAGCUGCAGCUCGAUGCAUCUGGUGCAGAUGCAGAUGUGGCUAUCCUGGAGGUUGAUAUCUCCCAGAAUUUCCAUAUCUCACACAAAGAGCACAACACAGUCCUGAGAGGCAUUCUCCUUGUUCUAACUAUGUACUAACAGACAAAGAAUGAAGAAUAAAUAAGAAGAAACUUACCAGAUAUGUACCUUGCCCAAGGUUGAGGAGCUAAAGCCUCCCCACUCUAACACAGGCCCACUCACACAAUGGCCACUCCGUUUGUCCCUGCUUUAUUUAUAUUUGCUUUUGCUACAGUGUGAGGCCUCCUGCACUGAUUUGACUGUGACUGUGCUGCCAAAAUCCCGUGAAAGCUGCAAUAAUUAAUGGGUCACCCUCCGUAAUUUCUGCCACUUUAACGAGAUGCCACCACCAGAUCUAUGGUCAUCUCUUCAUUCAGCAUUCAAAUGGACAUCUCCUUGCCUCACCUUUCCACCUCAAACAGCAUUUGCUCCCUUCCUCAUGGCACUAUCCCAUACAAAUGCAGAUCAUUGUAUUAUAAAAUGGCAUUCUAAUCAGGAUUGUGUACAACUAGAGGUGAGCAAUGUUGGUCUUUCACCCCACAAUCAUUUGUGAAUUUAUGAUAUCUGGGGAAAAUUUAAUCUACAAACUUUGUAAUUUGGCAAGGGGAUUGGAACCAGAGUGACAGACUGAGGAUGGGGCAGUCGGUAUAUAACUAGAUGCAGUGUGUAGUGAGAUUGUGAGGAAAGACAGGCACAUGAUAGGACAAAAUUGUAGUCAGUUGCAUGUGUUAAAGUGUACAACAUUAUAUUGAAAGGAUAGGCAGGUCAUCAGAAGGGGUGGGGUGGCUCUAUUGAGAAAAAUGAAAUCAAAUCCUCUGAAAGAGGUGACAUAGGAUCAGAAGACAUAUAAUCCUUGUGGGUAGAGUUAAGAGACUGCAAGGGUAAAAGGACUCUGAUGGGAGUUAUAUACAGACCUUUAAACAGUAGCCAGGAUGUGGGCUACAAAUUACAAUGGGACAUAGAUAAGUCAUGGGGGGAUUUCAAUGUGCAGGUAGAUUGGAAAAAUUAGGUAGGUGCUGGAUUCCAAGAGAGGGAAUUUUCAGAGUGCCUACAGGACGGAUUUUUUGAGUAGCAUAUGGUUGAGUCCACUCGGGGAACAAUAAUUCUGGAUUGGGUGUUAUGUCAUGACCUAGACUUAAUUAGUGAGCUUAAGGUAAAGGAACCCUAAGGACAGAGUGAUCAUAAAUUGAUAGAAUUCACCCUGCAGUUUUAGAAGGAGAAGCUAAAAUUAGAUGUAUCAGUAUUACAGUGGAGUAAAGGGAAUUACAGAGGCAUAAGAAAGGAGCUGGUCAAGGUGGAUUGGAAGGGAACACUAGCAGGAGUGAUGCCAGAAGGACAAUGGCUGGAGUUUCUGGGAUCAAUUUGGAAGGACUGCAAUGAUACUGAAAGAUACUGAUCAACUGGCUAGUGUGUUCAUCAAUAUCAGUACCCACCUGCUUCACGCAGGCUUCAAUUAUACCGGUGCCCAAGAAGAGCAUGGUGACCUGCCUCAAUGACUAUUGUCCAGUUGCACUCACAUCCACAGUGAUGAAGUGCUUUGAGAGGUUGGUGAUGAAACACAUCAACUCCUGCCUGAGAAGCAACUUAGAUCAGCUCCAUUUUGCCUACUGGGGCAAUGGCUCCACAUCAGAUGCCAUUUCAUUGGCUCUUCACUUAAUCCUGGAACAUCUGGACAACAAAGAUGCAUACAUCAGGAUGCUCUUUAUUGACAGCAGCUCAACAUUCCAUACCAUCAUCCGCUCAAAGCUAAUUAACAAGCUCCAAGACCUUGGCCUCAAUACCUCCAUGUGCAAUUGGAUCCUGGAUUUCCUCACUGGCAGUCCCUAGUUAGUUCAGAUUGGCAAUAACAUCUCCUCCACAAUAUCCAUCAGCACAGGUACACCACAAAGCUGUUUGCUUAGCCCCCUGCUCUACUCACUUUACACUUAUGACUAUGUGGCUAAGCACAGUUCCAAUGCCAUAGUCAAGUUUGCUGACAAGACCACUGUCGUAGGCCGAACUAAAGGCGGUAACGAAUCAGCAUACAGGAGGGAGAUUGAAAACCUGGCUGAGUCGUGUCAUAUCAACAACCUCUCACUCAAUGUCAGCAAAACCAAGGAGCCGAUUAUAGACUUCAGGAGAAGAAAACCAGAGGUCCAUGAGCCAGUCCUCGUCAGAGGAUGAGAAGUGGAGAGGGUUAGCAACUUUAAAUUCCUGUAUGUAAUAAUUUCAGAGGACCUGUCCUGGGCCCUGCACAUAAGUGCAGUUACGAAGGAAGCAUGACAGUGUCUUUACUUCCUUAAGAGUUUGUGGCAAUUUGGCUUGACAUCUAAAACUUUGACAAACUUCUAUAGAUGUGUAUUGGAGAGUACAUUGACCAGCUGCAUCACAGUCUGGUAUGGAAACACCAAUGCCCUUGAAUGGAAAAUCCUACAAAAAGUGGUGGAUACAUCAUGGAUAAUGCCCUCCAACUGCUGAGCACACCUACAUGAAAUGCUAUUGCAGGAAAGCAGCAUCCUUCAUCAGGAACCUCCACCACCCAGGACAUGCUCUCUUCUUGCUGUUGUCAUCAGGAAGAAGGUACAAGAGCCUCAGAACUCACACCACUAGGAUCAGGAAAAGUUAUUACCCCUCAACCAUCAGUCUCUUAAACCAAAGGGAAUAACUUCACUCAACUUCACUUGCUCCCAUCAUUGAAAUGUUCUCACAGCCAAUGGGCUCACUUUUACGGACUCUUCAUCUCAUGCUCUAAUUAUUUAUUACCUAUUUAUUAUUAUUAUUAUUUCCUGUUUUUGUAUUUGCAAAGUUUGCUUUCUUCUGCACCUUGGUUGAACACCCUAGUUGGGUGAUCUUUCAUUGAUUCUGUUAUGUUCAUUAUUCUAUAGAUUUAUUGAGUAUGCCCACAGGAAAAUGAAUCUCAGGGUUGUAUGUGGUGACAUAUAUGUGCUUAGAUAAUAAAAUUUACUUUCAACUUUGAUACAUCCCAAAGAUGAUGAAGUAUUCUAAAGGGAGGAUGAGGCAACCAUGGCUGAGACGGGAAGUUAAAGACAGCAUAAAAGUAAAACAGAAGGGAUGUAAUAUAGCAAAAGAUUGAGGGAAGAUAGAGAAGUUUUUAAAAACCUACAGAAGGCACCAAAAAAAGUCAUAAAGAAAGAAAAGAUGAUAUAUGAAGGUGAGCUGGCCAAUAAUAUAAAAGAGGAUACAAAAACUUCUUUUGUUAUAUAAAGUAUGAAACAGAGAUGGGAAUGGAUAUUGGACCAUUGGAAAAUGACGCUGGAGAGGUAGUUAAUGGGAGGACAAAGAAAUAGCGGAUGAACUUAAUAAAUAUUUUGUGUCACUAACAGAAUGCCAGAAAUGCGAGAGCUUCGGGGCGGGGGGUGCAGAAUUGAGUGUUGUUACUGUUACUGAGGAGAAGGUGCUUGGGAAGCUGAAAAGUCAAGCUAACUGACCGAUAAUCUCCUUUCUUCUUCUGCUUUCACUUCUAAAAGAGUGGAGUGACAUUUGAAAUCUUACAGUCUUCCGAAGCCAUUCCAGAAUUUAGUGAUUAUUGAAAGAUCAGUACUAAUGCCUCCACCAUCUCUUCAGCUAGUUCUUUCAAACCCUGGGGUGUAGUCCAUCUGGUCUGACUUCACACCUUCUCUUUAGUAAUAGCAACAACACUCACUUCUGUCCCCUGACACUCUUGAUGUUCUGGCAUUCUGCUAGUGUCCUGCACAGUGAAGGCUAAUGCAAGAUACUUAUUGAGUUCUUCUGCCAGUUUUUUGUCCCCCAUUAGUCGCUCCAGCAUCAUUUUCCAGUGGUCCGAUAUCAAUUUUUGCCUCUCAUCUUGUGGGCUCAAACAAAAGCUGCUCUAAAAAGCCAUCUAGUAGCCAUUCUACAAAUUCCCUCUCUUGAGAUCCAGCACCAAGCUGAUCUUCCCAAACUACUUGCUUAUUGAAAUCCCCCAUGACUAUUGUAACUUUGCCCUUUUUACACACCCUUUUUUUUUACCCAUUGUAAUUUGCAGCCCAUAUCCUGGCUACUGUUUAGAGGCCUGUAUACAACUCCCAUCAGAGUCUUUUUACCCUUGCAGUUUCUUAACUCUAUCCACAAGGAUUCUACAUCUUUCAAUCCUAUGUCAGUUCUUUGUAAGGAUCUGAUUUUAUUUUUUUACCAACAGUGCCACCCCAUCCCCUCUGGCAACCUGCUAAUCCAUUUGAUACUUUGUGUAGACUUGGAUGUUAACCUCCCAACUAUGACCUUCUUUCAGCCACGAAUCAGUUAUGCCACAACGUUAUACCUGAUGUUUUCUGUUUCUUCUUGGUAGAGAAGCCAAGAAUAUUCUCACAGGUUCAAACUUAAAUUUGAAUCAAAUUUAAGUUGUGCUGUGAUGGUGAGAGAGACUGGAAUCUGACCAUUCUCCAUAUAAAAUGCCAACACAUAAACAAUGAGAAAGUUAAAUUGUGAUAGAGACAAAUUUAAUUUAGUCAAUAGAGAAUGGAUUUCAAUACUUUGAUGACUGAUGAUCUCAGGUAAAUGAAAAAAUACCACAAACUACACCUUCAAAUUUGAGAAACAUCAGAAUUUAAAAUAGUUUCCUUUGGUAUACCAUAUCUUCAGAACACAGAGGGUUAGUUUUCAUUUCAUUUUGUACUGAUUGCUACUAUACAAUCUGAGUGCGUCAAUUAUACAAUAAAACAGAAAUGACUGUGUUGAUAUAUCUAGUACACAAAACAACUAUCUAUUACAGAGGCUCGUUAGAUUUAUGCUCAGUUAGUUUCAGUGGUGUUGCAAUCUUCUAAACUUACAAUUGAAUGAAAAAGCACAUCUUUCCCUCCCCCCACUUUCUGCUGGGAUCACUCCCUACGCGACUCCCUUGUCCAUUCGUUCCUCCCCACUGAUCUCCCUCUUGGCACUUAUCCUUGCAAACAGAACAAGUGCUACACCUCCUCCUUCACUACUAUUCAGGGCCCCAAACACUCCUUCCAGGUGAGGUGACACUUUAUCUGUGAGUCUGUUGGGUCAUAGACAGUGUCCGGUGUUCUCAGUGUGGUCUCUUGUAUAUCGGUGAGACUCAGCAUAGAUUGGGAGACCACUUUGCUGAGCACCUUUGCUCCAUCUGCCACAAAAAGCAGGAUUUCUCGGUGGCCACCCAUUUCAAAUCUACUUCCCAUUCCCAUUGCGACAUAUUAGUCCAUGGCCUCCUCUACUGCCGCGAUGGGUCCACACUGAGGUUGGGGGAGCAACACCUUAUAUUCUGUCUGGAUAGCCUCCAACCUGAUGGCAUGUAUGAAUUUCCGAUUAUUACCCACAACCCCCUCUACAUCACUGUUUUCCACUCCUGUUUCUCUUUCACCUUAUCUCCUUACUUGCCUAUCACCUUCCACUGGUGCUCCUCCUCCUUCCCUUUCUUCCAUGAUCUUCUGUCCUCACUUAUCAGAUUCCCCCUUUUCCAGCCCUUUAUCUCUUUCACCAAUCAACUUCUCAGCUCAUUACUUCACCUUCUCCCUCUCUCCCAGUUUCACCUAUCACCUGCCAGCUUGUACUUCUUCCUCCCCUCCGCCCACAUUCUUAUUCUUCCCCUUUCCUCUCCGGUCCUCAUGAAGGGUCUUGGCCCGAAACAUCGACUGUUUACUCCCAUUCAUUGAUGCUGCCUGACUGGUUGAGCUCCUCCUGUUCACUGUGUGCAUUCCUCUAAUUUCCAGCAUCUGCAGUACUUGCUGUGUCUAUGAAAAACUCAGUUAUCUUUACUGCUUGUGAUUGGUCGAAUCUGUGGUCAAACUAACUACCCGAAUUGACUGCUGGGUGGCUAGUUAAAUGAUGGACUGGAGGUAACAUCGUGCUUGUGAAGCUAAAUGUCCUGUGAGAGCUGUAUGAUCUGAUGUCUUUAGGAAGGGGGGUUGUUAAUAUAGUUGCAUAAAAUCAUACAAAUAUGAGCAACAAGCUAUAUAAUUAGGGGAUUGGCAGCAAUUGAAAUUACCUUCAUAAAAAUAUAGCUUGAUGCUAUUUUUUGGCAUUGAAAGGACUCAUUUUCAAAACAAAGUAUUAGCCAAUGAGUGCCUUUCCAGACAUUAAAGCCAUUUUAUUGCAGCAUUAUAUUAAGAGCUCCCUAGGUAAUCACACAUACAUACACUUUAAUUCAAGUAAACAACUAUUUCAGUUUUGUUGAAAGGAGUUAUUGAUUUCAGAACACAUUUUAGAGGCAUAACAUUAAAUAGUGCAAAAUACUGACUAUUUUUAAGGUGAUGGUUAUUCUUCUGUUUUUAAUCUGUCAUGGGCAUUGAUUGCUGGCAGCAACUGAAGUUGCAUCUAUCCACACUGCAAUAAAUUGCUGAAUUUUCCAGCUCGUAUGGUGGCUCUGUCAAAAUGAUCGGAGAUGUUUCUUAUUAAUGUGUGUUCCCAAAUGUUUAAUGGCUAAACCAGCAGAAAGACACUGUGGCACUUUGUUAAGAUUUAAUCUAGAGUUUGAAGCACAUUUGUCCAACAUUUCUAUCCUGUGUUGUGGUUAGAAGAAAGGGUCCUGAUGUAAGUUAACAGAACCACAGAAUCUUCAUUUUCACAGCACCUUAUCAAGUCUCCAGGAUAUCUUAAACCAUUUUGAAGUAAACAAACCCAGUGAAAUAUUUUUAAAAGGUAGUUAUGGCUGUAACUGUAGUGAGAAAUUUCCACUUAACAUGACCCCACUAACACAGUAAUCUGAUUUAUUGAUUUUGAGAUAAAUAUUGGUAAGAAUGUUUGGAAUGAUUUGGCAGGGUGCUCACUAUUCAUAGAUGGUUUGUAAUUGCAAUUUGCCCGCCAAAUUCCUGAUGGUGAUGGGUAGGUUCAGCCUUUAGUAGGCUCCGUACCAGUUGUCGAUGAUUGUCUCACAUGGGAGGUUAUGAAACUGACUCCCACAUACACUAAUGAUGUACCAUGCUUGUUUCUCCCAGGUGGUUGAACUAUAACCUUUUGUUGGGGGAGGAGAGUAUCUCAAUACUAAUUCUUUGUCUCAAAUAAGGACACCAAGGUCUUACAUUUCAGUCAUCUGGGAUAAAGGAAAUAUUCAACAAACUAUAGUACUGUGCAAAAGUCUUAGGCACAUCUAUAUAGCUAGGGCGCCUAAGACUUUUUCAAAGUACUGUAAUAAUUUUAUGUAUUGCACUGCACUGCUGCCACAUAUACAAAAAACAAAUUUCAUGACAUGUGUGAGUGAUGAUUUUGAUAUGGGUCUCUAUUGUGGUCUGAGAGUGGGAAGGGGACAGGGAGAGGGAAAUCAUAGUUGGGAAAAGGGGAAGGGAGAGUUGGACAGUGCUUCACCCUGGAUCCUGACCCGGAUCUGGGCCGGACCCUCCAAAUAUCCGGACCUGCCUCUCGGUUUUUUUGCACUACCUUACUUUCCAUUUUUCUAUUUUCUAUUUAUGAUUUAUAAUUUAAAUUUUUAAUAUUUACUACUUUUUACUAUUUUAAAUAUUUUAAAUAUUUAAUAUUUGUAAUCCAGGGAGUGGAAAGUGCAGAAUUAAAUAUCGCUGUGAUGAUUGUACGUUCUAGUAUCAAUUGUUUGGCGACAAUAAAAUAUAAAGUAAAGUCUUGUGUAACUGGAUCCUGGACUUCCUGUCAGAUCGCUGGCAGGUGGUAAGAGUGGGCUCCCUCACCUCUGCCCCUCUGACCAGCAACACAGGUGCCCCUCAGGGCCGUGUACUAAGCCUCCUCCUUUACUCUCCGCAUACCCAUGACUAUGACUACCCAAGAAUAGAUGGAGAAGUGAGUCAGUUUACGAAAAUCAAGAGAGGCGUUAGACUAGGGUGUGUUUUCUCCCCUGAUUUGUUUAAUGUGUACAGUGAAACAAUGUUACAAAAAAUAAGAGACAUCUUGGGAAUCAAAGUUAGCGGUGAAAACAUUAAUAAUUUCAGAUAUGCGGCUGACACUGUGUUAAUUGCAAGUACGGAGGAAGAACUACAAAACUUAAUUGAUACAGUUGUUGAAGAAGAUGCAAAAAUGGGUCUAUUUAUCAAUUGUAAAAAGACAGAAUGUAUGGUGAUAUCCAAAAAGAAGGAGAAUCCUAUCUGCAGGUUGAAAAUAAAUGGGGAAGACAUAAAACAAGUACAGAACUUUUGCUACUUAGGAAGCUGGGUGACAUCAGAUGGCAGGUGCGACUUGGACAUCAAAAGAAGAAUAGGGAUGGCAAAAGACACCUUUACGAGAAUGAAGAGUAUACGGACCAACACUAAACUAGGCAUGACAACCCACCUCAGAGUACUGAAAUAUUACGUUUAUCCAGUUAUGUUAUAUGAAUUAGAAUGUUAGACAAUAUCUAGUAACAUGAGGAAAUGAGUUGAAGCAGCAGUGAUGUGAUUUUUGAGGAGGAUGCAAAGAAUAUCAUGGACAAAAUGAAUAUCUAAUGAGUGUGUCAUGAACAGAGCAAACAUAAAGAGAAAUAAUGUAUGAGAUCAUGAAAAGGCAAUGUAACUUCAUUGGACAUGUGAUUAGGAAAAAGGAGUUUGAAUGCACGGUAAUUAUGGGAAAGAUUGAAGGGAAGAAAGCAAAAGGAAGGCAAAGACAAAUGAUGAUGGAGACAGCAGCCAGCGAAUUGGAAAUGAAUACCAAUGAAUUGAUCCACUUGACCCAAGACAGGAGUGUGUGGGCCAUGGCAGUCAAAGCUCAAACUGGGCAUGACUGUGUUGCCAUCCACAGCUCCAACCUGCUAAGUACAUUUGCUGAUGACACUACACUGAUUGGCCUAAUCUCAAAUAAUAAUGAGGCAGCCUACAGAGAAGAAGUCAUCACCCUGAUAUAGUGGUGUCAAGGAAACAACCUCUUCCUCAAUGUCACAAGAACAAAGGAGCUGGUUGUGGACUACAGGAGGAAUGGAGACAGGCUUGCCCCUAUUAACAUCAAUGGAUCUGGGGUUGAGAGGGUGAACAGCUUUAGAUUCCUCGGCAUUCACAUCACUGAGGAUCUCACGCGGUCUGUAUAUACCAGUUGUGUGGUGAAAAAGGCACAACAGUGCCUCUUUCACCUCAGAUGGUUGAAGAAGUUUGGUAUGUGUCCCAAAAUCCUAAGAACUUUCUAUAGGGGCACAUUUGAGAGUAUCCUGACUGGCUGCAUCACUGCCUGGUAUGGGAACUGUACUUUCUUCAAUCGCAGGACUCUGCAGAGAGUGGUGUGGACAGCCCAGCGCAUCUAUAGAUGUGAACUUCCCGCUAUUCAGGACAUUUACAAAGACAGGUGUGUAAAAAGGGCCUGAAGGAUCAUUGGGGACCCGAGUCACACCAACCACAAACUGUUCCAGCUGCUACCAUCCAGGAAAUGAUACGGCAGCAUAAAAGCCAGGACCAACAGGCUCCGGGACAGCUUCUUCCACCAGGCCAUCAGACUGAUUAACUCAUGCUGACGCAACUGUAUUUCUAUGUUAUAUUGCCUGUCCUGUUGUAUAUACUGUUCAUUAUAAAUUACUAUAAAUUGUAUAUUGCACAUUUGAACGGUGACGUAACGUAAAGAUUUUUACUCCUCAUGUAUACGAAGGAUGCAAGUAAUAAAGUCAAUUCAAUUCAACUCAAUGAUCUUUGUGGCUGAAAGAUCCAGCAGAGCCUGGAGCACUGCCUGCUAAUCCAAUGGCUGGGGGUUUAAGCUCCCAGUGAUGUGACAAGGGAUCUGAUUCAUCAGUGGGUGGAAGAUCAACAGUCUGUUGAUCACUGAAGGUGUUUGUUAAUUUCUGAGCAGAUACAAGGUCUCAGUGGCUACUCCGGUGACAAGUCUGCAGUGUAGGUGAGCCAGCUCCAGAGCUUUUCCUCAAAGGGCAAUACUA